This 745-nucleotide ribosomal RNA is filed under the name Acanthamoeba sp. LC-2012. Its description in RNAcentral is "SSU rRNA". It matches the Rfam family "Eukaryotic small subunit ribosomal RNA", at positions 619 to 1143 of the family's 1831-position model. Lineage: Eukaryota; Discosea; Longamoebia; Acanthamoebidae. The record is from RNAcentral.
UUAAAAAGCUCGUAGUUGGAUCUAGGGACGCGCAUUUCAAGCGCCCGUGCCAUCGGGUCAAACCGGUGGCUGCGUUGGCGUUGCGGGCUCGGUCCGUCGGUGCCCACAAAAGCAUCGGCGUGUCAACCGGCCCGCCCGUCCCCUCCUUCUGGAUUCCCGUUCCUGCUAUUGAGUUAGUGGGGACGUCACAGGGGGUCCAUCGUCGGCCAUGCAAAUGGCGGGCGGUGGGUCCCUGGGGCCCAGAUCGUUUACCGUGAAAAAAUUAGAGUGUUCAAAGCAGGCAGAUCCAAUUUUCUGCCACCGAAUACAUUAGCAUGGGAUAAUGGAAUAGGACCCUGUCCUCCUAUUUCAGUUGGUUUUGGCAGCGCGAGGACUAGGGUAAUGAUUAAUAGGGAUAGUUGGGGGCAUUAAUAUUUAAUUGUCAGAGGUGAAAUUCUUGGAUUUAUGAAAGAUUAACUUCUGCGAAAGCAUCUGCCAAGGAUGUUUUCAUUAAUCAAGAACGAAAGUUAGGGGAUCGAAGACGAUCAGAUACCGUCGUAGUCUUAACCAUAAACGAUGCCGACCAGCGAUUAGGAGACGUUGAAUACAAAACACCACCAUCGGCGCGGUCGUCCCUGGCUCGUCGUCUCACGACGGCGGGCGGGGGCGGUUUAGCCCGAUGGCACCGGUGAAUGACUCCCCUAGCAGCUUGUGAGAAAUCAUAAGUCUUUGGGUUCCGGGGGGAGUAUGGUCGCAAGGCUGAAAC